AUACGGAGGGUGCGAGCGUUAAUCGGAAUUACUGGGCGUAAAGCGUACGUAGGCGGUUGGUUAAGUUAGAUGUGAAAGCCCCGGGCUUAACCUGGGAACUGCAUUUAAAACUGGCGAACUAGAGUUGAGUAGAGGGGAGUGGAAUUUCAGGUGUAGCGGUGAAAUGCGUAGAGAUCUGAAGGAACACCAGUGGCGAAGGCGACUCCCUGGACUCGAACUGACGCUGAGGUACGAAAGCGCGGGUAGCAAACGGGAUUAGAAACCCUAGUAGUCC
This 274-nucleotide ribosomal RNA is filed under the name uncultured bacterium. RNAcentral describes it as "partial 16S ribosomal RNA". It matches the Rfam family "Bacterial small subunit ribosomal RNA", at positions 523 to 796 of the family's 1533-position model. The record is from RNAcentral.